Diceros bicornis minor is the source of this 1188-nucleotide long non-coding RNA. RefSeq lists it as uncharacterized. The transcript is spliced from 4 exons. NCBI's taxonomy places the organism in Eukaryota, Metazoa, Chordata, Mammalia, Perissodactyla, Rhinocerotidae. The record is from RefSeq and is a predicted model, not a curated record.
CCAAUGUCCCAGUCCCUGGAGAUGUCUCACCUCUCACCGAGAUGCACUCAGGGCCUAUUAGCUUUGGAUAUAGGUGCUGGGUCAUCUUCUGAAGCCGAAUCUCUUAAGCAUCGUGGGGAAGAAAGACUUUGACACUUUUAAGACAGCUCUCUUCUUUCUAGUGUGGGGACGCAGACCCAGAAAUGGAGCCUUGAGCAUAACGUCAUACAGGCCAGUGGAGAGGUGGGCAUGAAGUUCUGUGCAAACACAGAGAAGGAAGUGACCUAAUUUUUUCUUGGAGUAUCGGAGCUGGCUCUACAGAGGAGAUGACCCUUAACUGGAGCAUUGAAGGAUGGGUCUUACAAGAAGAACUUCUCAGCCUCUCAGGAGAGUGUAAGGAGGAAUUGAAUUCCACAAAGCAAAUACUAAGGAGAAGGGAGCCAAUGGAAAAAGAAGCAACCUUCUAACAACAGGUGAUAGGCAAACACACGGUUUGCUCUGUGUUUUUUCUAUGAUGAAUGUUUCAAACUGACUCAGACUAUUGAUAUCCCAGAAGAGACUUCUCCAAAAGCCUUGGAAAUAGAGGAUGCUGGCUGGCCAGAGGCUGUGUGGAGCUUGGCCCCUACCUGAGGUGGAGAGUCAGGAGGGUAGCUAUUUUCAGCUCUAAAUACACCCAGAGUGAGACACCUAACAGUUAGGGAAAGAUGACCCUCUUUCUCUAUUCCUAUCAGAAUGACUGGUGUAACUAUACAUGUUGGUUAGAAGGCACUUGUCAUACAGUUUAGAGGUGGAAUUUUUGAGGUAAAUGUAUUAAAUAGAUGAGUGAAUUGAAGAUAAUUUGAAAUAAAUACUCAGUUAUGAAAUAUAUGAAAACAGAAAUUCACCAUUUGUCUGUAAUAUCUACUUCCCCCCAAUUUUUAUUUACAAUUCAAAUCUCUGUUAAAAGCACCUGAGGAUGAAGUUGUUUUCCAAAUAACUGAUGGCACUCAAUAAGACAUGACAUUUAUGGGUUCCGACUACUUGAACUCCUUUUGGAAAGCAAAGGUGUCCUGUUGCUGUUCAGUUUAUUGAGAAACGAGCAGUUGCAAUACUGUGCCGUUUUCACCUCCAUGGACUCCCAGAAACCUCUGGACUGACCUGGCCACCUGUAGGCACCUGGGAUACACUGUUUACAAAGCUGAGUCCAAGAACUUCUCCUCUCCCUGUGUG